AAUGCUGACGUUACCAAAGGUGACCCGCAGUGGUUGUGUGUUUGGGCCAGUGUUCCCAAAGGAUAAGGAAGAAUCAGUUGUUGGAAAGAAAGUGGAAGUGCCUAUUGUAGAUCCAGUUGGUGCUUCAAAGGGUAAGUCUGGUGAAUCCAGCGAUUCGAAGGCUAACGAGGAUGAUGAGGUACUUCGAUUGAUCAAAAGGAGUGAGUUUAAUAUGGUGGAGCAGCUUCUCCAAACCCCCUCAAGGAUCUCAGUGUUGUCUCUUCU
RNAcentral lists this long non-coding RNA (264 nucleotides) under Lathyrus oleraceus (garden pea). RNAcentral's name for it is "Pisum sativum (pea) long non-coding RNA (PSAT_LNC015161)". The record is from RNAcentral. Lineage: Eukaryota; Viridiplantae; Streptophyta; Magnoliopsida; Fabales; Fabaceae.